Molecule: transfer RNA, 69 nt
Filed under: Lophonectes gallus (crested flounder)
Lineage: Eukaryota; Metazoa; Chordata; Actinopteri; Pleuronectiformes; Bothidae
Description: tRNA-Phe
Rfam family: tRNA
About the family: Transfer RNA (tRNA) molecules are approximately 80 nucleotides in length.
Source: RNAcentral
GCAAUCGUAGCUUAAAUAAAGCAUAACACUGAAGAUGUUAGGAUGGACCAUCGUAAGGUCUCGAGGGCA